RNAcentral lists this ribosomal RNA (497 nucleotides) under uncultured bacterium. Its description in RNAcentral is "partial 16S ribosomal RNA". It matches the Rfam family "Bacterial small subunit ribosomal RNA", at positions 29 to 507 of the family's 1533-position model. The record is from RNAcentral.
AGUGAACGCUGGCGGUAUGCCUAACACAUGCAAGUCGAACGGAAACACAAUAAGCUCUUGCUCUUACGGGUAGCGGGUGACGGGCGAGUAACACAUGCAUAGGAAUCUACUUUUACGGGGAGGAUAACGUAGAAACGGUUCCACUAAUACCGCAUAUAUCGUACGGCUGGAAGCAGGAGAUAAUCGCGGCUUGCGCGACUGUAUUAGCUGGUGCCGCGUCGGAUUAGCUAGUUGGUAAGGUAACGGCCUAGCAAGGCAACGUUGCGUAGCCGAGCUGAGAGGGUGAUCGGCCACACUGGAACUGAGACACGGUCCAGACUCCUACGGGAGGCAGCAGUAGGGAAUCUUCGGCAAUGGGCGGAAGCCUGACGCAGCACCGCCGCGUGGGUGAAGAAGGUCUUCGGGUCGUAAAACUCUUUUGUUAGGAAAGAAAAGAAGUAGGUGAAUAUCCCGCCGUCUUGACGGUACCUAAAGAAUAAGCACCGGCUAACUACGUG